GAACUAGCUGUUGUACCAUCUGUCAUCUGAUGUUCAACUGAAGAAAAACACCAGACUCUCCUUGGUCGGCAACCAUUUUCAUACUAAAGAAACCACAAGAUAAUAAGAAGAGGCUCCAAAAGAGGUGUGGAUUGCCCACAAGAGGUCUGAACGACAACAUGUAUUUUUACUGGAAGUCUGCUUACUAGCCAAAACCUUUGGAAAGUCAUGACACUAAUUUGGCAAGGCACUAUCUCCGUCUGCUUCACUGAAAACAUCUUAGACAGCCUAAUAAAUAAAAUGCACUUCGUUUUUGGGGGUUUUCAACUUGUCUUUCUCUUGGCCUGCAGUCUGUCAGCAGGCAGAGAUUAGAGAAUUGACUGGAUCUUAGCAAAUUUGGUUCGAGAGAAAUCAGAGAGGUAGCAGAGGAUAGGAGUGUAUCUCCUUUCCAGCCACCCCGGUGUUGAAAUAUUGCCAGCAAAUGCAUUAAAUACAAACCAAACAAAACCUCAUCACCCCACCAUAUACAAAGUUUUUGAGUUUGUGCUCUGCGAAGUCUGCUGUAAAAUAUCAAAAAUUAUUUCAAAGGAAGGACCAAGCUUAGAACUU
Crotalus tigris (Tiger rattlesnake) is the source of this 588-nucleotide long non-coding RNA. RefSeq lists it as uncharacterized. The record is from RefSeq and is a predicted model, not a curated record. The transcript has 2 exons. NCBI's taxonomy places the organism in Eukaryota, Metazoa, Chordata, Lepidosauria, Squamata, Viperidae.